This 509-nucleotide ribosomal RNA is filed under the name uncultured bacterium. RNAcentral's name for it is "bacterial SSU rRNA". It matches the Rfam family "Bacterial small subunit ribosomal RNA", at positions 975 to 1482 of the family's 1533-position model. The record is from RNAcentral.
CAGCGUUUGACAUGCCAGGACGGUUUCCAGAGAUGGAUUCCUUCCCUUACGGGACCUGGACACAGGUGCUGCAUGGCUGUCGUCAGCUCGUGUCGUGAGAUGUUGGGUUAAGUCCCGCAACGAGCGCAACCCUCGUCUUUAGUUGCCACCAUUUAGUUGGGCACUCUAAAGAAACUGCCGGUGAUAAGCCGGAGGAAGGUGGGGAUGACGUCAAGUCCUCAUGGCCCUUACGCGCUGGGCUACACACGUGCUACAAUGGCGGUGACAACGGGCAGCAAACUCGCGAGAGUGAGCAAAUCCCAAAAAGCCGUCUCAGUUCGGAUUGUUCUCUGCAACUCGAGAGCAUGAAGGCGGAAUCGCUAGUAAUCGCGGAUCAGCACGCCGCGGUGAAUACGUUCCCAGGCCUUGUACACACCGCCCGUCACACCAUGGGAGUUGGUUUCACCCGAAGGUGGUGCGCUAACCCGCAAGGGAGGCAGCCAACCACGGUGGGAUCAGCGACUGGGGUG